Molecule: transfer RNA, 72 nt
Filed under: Camelus bactrianus (Bactrian camel)
Lineage: Eukaryota; Metazoa; Chordata; Mammalia; Artiodactyla; Camelidae
Also listed under: 3 other names
Rfam family: tRNA
About the family: Transfer RNA (tRNA) molecules are approximately 80 nucleotides in length.
Source: Rfam by way of RNAcentral
GAGGGAAUAGCUCAGUGGUAGAGCACAUGUUUAGCGUGCACGAGGUCCUGGGUUCAAUCCCCAGUACCUCCA